AAGUGUCUUUGUUGCCCUUGGAAUGUCUGGAGACCCCCACCCUCAUCUCUGCCCAGGAGGUGAUUUAUGGAAUCCCCUGUCCCUCAGAAUGUCUGAAUCCCUUCAGCCGCACCCCUGC
Molecule: long non-coding RNA, 118 nt
Organism: Cebus imitator (Panamanian white-faced capuchin)
Lineage: Eukaryota; Metazoa; Chordata; Mammalia; Primates; Cebidae
Exons: 3
Source: RefSeq, a predicted model, not a curated record